RNAcentral lists this long non-coding RNA (264 nucleotides) under Elaeis guineensis (African oil palm). RNAcentral's name for it is "long non-coding RNA (EGUI_LNC072871)". Lineage: Eukaryota; Viridiplantae; Streptophyta; Magnoliopsida; Arecales; Arecaceae. The record is from RNAcentral.
CCACACGAAGCCCUCGGACCGAUAGCUCUCAGUGGGAGUGCUAGCUCGUGCAGUCGGCUUCUGAUGGUGAAUCUAAUUUGAUCUUCUUUUUCGAUCAUCUCGAACCUUUUUGAUAUCGAAGAUAGAUCAGAGGAGGAUGCUGGAUGGUAGAGAAAAAUUAGAUGAAAACUCUCUUCUCUUUGAUUUUUCUCUCACCCAGAAAUCCUAGAAUGAUUCUAGGUCUCUCACCUGAGAGGAGAUAGAUCUUCUCCUUUGCACAUGCCA